This 253-nucleotide ribosomal RNA is filed under the name uncultured bacterium. RNAcentral's name for it is "partial 16S ribosomal RNA". It matches the Rfam family "Bacterial small subunit ribosomal RNA", at positions 524 to 776 of the family's 1533-position model. The record is from RNAcentral.
UACGUAGGCAGCGAGCGUUGUUCGGAGUUACUGGGCGUAAAGGGUGUGUAGGCGGUUCUCUAAGUUUGGUGUGAAAUCUCCCGGCUCAACCGGGAGGGUGCGCCGAAAACUGGAGGGCUAGAGUGCGGGAAGGGAGAGUAGAAUUCCUGGUGUAGCGGUGAAAUGCGUAGAUAUCAGGAGGAAUACCGGUGGUGUAGACGGCUCUCUGGACCGCGACUGUCGCUGAGACACGAAAGCGUGGGUAGCAAACAGG